CGCAAGCCUGACGGAGCAAGACCGCGUGCGGGAUGACGGCCUAAUGGUUGUAAACCGCUUUUCUCUGGGAAGAUGAUGACGGUACCAGAGGAAUCAGCCUCGGCUAACUCCGUGCCAGCAGCCGCGGUAAUACGGAGGAGGCAAGCGUUAUCCGGAAUUAUUGGGCGUAAAGCGUCCGUAGGUGGUUAUUCAAGUCUGCUGUCAAAGCGUGGGGCUUAACUCCAUAGAGGCAGUGGAAACUGGAUGACUUGAGUGCGGUAGGGGUCGAGGGAAUUCCCAGUGUAGCGGUGAAAUGCGUAGAUAUUGGGAAGAACACCAGUGGCGAAAGCGCUCGACUGGGCCUGCACUGACACUGAGGGACGAAAGUUAGGGGAGCG
Molecule: ribosomal RNA, 377 nt
Filed under: uncultured cyanobacterium
Lineage: Bacteria; Bacillati; Cyanobacteriota
Description: bacterial SSU rRNA
Rfam family: Bacterial small subunit ribosomal RNA
Source: RNAcentral